This 429-nucleotide ribosomal RNA is filed under the name Verrucomicrobiota bacterium. RNAcentral's name for it is "Verrucomicrobia bacterium partial 16S ribosomal RNA". It matches the Rfam family "Bacterial small subunit ribosomal RNA", at positions 355 to 776 of the family's 1533-position model. The record is from RNAcentral. Lineage: Bacteria; Pseudomonadati; Verrucomicrobiota.
UAGGGAAUCUUCCGCAAUGGACGAAAGUCUGACGGAGCAACGCCGCGUGAGUGAAGAAGGAUUUCGGUUCGUAAAACUCUGUUGUUAGGGAAGAAAAAAUGUAUAGUAACUAUAUACAAAAGAGACGGUACCUAACCAGAAAGCCACGGCUAACUACGUGCCAGCAGCCGCGGUAAUACGUAGGUGGCAAGCGUUGUCCGGAAUUAUUGGGCGUAAAGCGCGCGCAGGUGGUUUAGAAAGUCUGAUGUGAAAGCCCACGGCUCAACCGUGGAGGGUCAUUGGAAACUAAUAAACUUGAGUGCAGGAGAGAAAAGUGGAAUUCCUGGGGUAGCGGUGAAAUGCGUAGAGAUUAGGAGGAACACCGGUGGCGAAAGCGGCUUUUUGGCCUGCAACUGACACUGAGGCGCGAAAGCGUGGGGAGCAAACAGG